GGCUGGUUAGCUCAGUGGGUUGAGCACGGUGCUGAUAACACCUAGACUGCGGGUUCGAUUCCCUUUCGGUCCA
RNAcentral lists this transfer RNA (73 nucleotides) under Apaloderma vittatum (bar-tailed trogon). It matches the Rfam family "tRNA". Rfam says of the family: Transfer RNA (tRNA) molecules are approximately 80 nucleotides in length. Their secondary structure includes four short double-helical elements and three loops (D, anti-codon, and T loops). Further hydrogen bonds mediate the characteristic L-shaped molecular structure. tRNAs have two regions of fundamental functional importance: the anti-codon, which is responsible for specific mRNA codon recognition, and the 3' end, to which the tRNAs corresponding amino acid is attached (by aminoacyl-tRNA synthetases). tRNAs cope with the degeneracy of the genetic code in two manners: having more than one tRNA (with a specific anti-codon) for a particular amino acid; and 'wobble' base-pairing, i.e. permitting non-standard base-pairing at the 3rd anti-codon position. Lineage: Eukaryota; Metazoa; Chordata; Aves; Trogoniformes; Trogonidae. The record is from Rfam by way of RNAcentral.